RNAcentral lists this ribosomal RNA (498 nucleotides) under uncultured bacterium. RNAcentral describes it as "partial 16S ribosomal RNA". It matches the Rfam family "Bacterial small subunit ribosomal RNA", at positions 28 to 523 of the family's 1533-position model. The record is from RNAcentral.
GAUGAACGCUAGCUACAGGCUUAACACAUGCAAGUCGAGGGGUAGCAGGGUAGCAAUACCGCUGACGACCGGCGCACGGGUGAGUAACACGUAUCCAACCUUCCCAUAACACGGGGAUAGCCUUUCGAAAGAAAGAUUAAUACCCGAUAGUACUUUAUUAAGGCAUCUUAAGAAAGUUAAAGAUUUAUUGGUUAUGGAUGGGGAUGCGUUCCAUUAGAUAGUUGGUGAGGUAACGGCUCACCAAGUCUUCGAUGGAUAGGGGUUCUGAGAGGAACGCCCCCCACAAUGGUACUGUGACACGGACCAAACUCCUACGGGAGGCAGCAAUGAGGAAUAUUGGUCAAUGGGCGAGAGCCUGAACCAGCCAAGUAGCGUGAAGGAUGAAGGUCCUAUGGAUUGUAAACUUCUUUUAUAGUAGAAUAAAGUGAACCACGUGUGGUUUUUUGUAUGUAUACUAUGAAUAAGGAUCGGCUAACUCCGUGCCAGCCGCCGCCGUAA